CUGCGUGAAGUCGGAAUUGCUAGUAAUCGCGGAUCAGCAUGCCGCGGUGAAUACGUUCCCGGGCCUUGUACACACCGCCCGUCACACCAUGGGAGUUGGUAACACCCGAAGUCAGGUAGCCUAACCGCAAGGGAGGGCGCUGCCGAAGGUGGGAUCGAUGACUGGGGUGAAGUCGUAACAAGGUACC
This 187-nucleotide ribosomal RNA is filed under the name uncultured bacterium. RNAcentral describes it as "partial 16S ribosomal RNA". It matches the Rfam family "Bacterial small subunit ribosomal RNA", at positions 1316 to 1500 of the family's 1533-position model. The record is from RNAcentral.